CUGACUGUCGGUAACAGCAGUGAUACCUGAUCUCUGUUCUGCGCACUUUAUUUUUGGACUGAACUUUAUAUUAAACUUAAACCACACUUGUCGUUCUAACUCGCUGUUUGUUCUCCUCCUCAGAUUGCAAAGGAGCAUGGCAUUAGGUUUUUUGAGACGAGUGCUAAGGCCAACGUCAGCAUCGAGAAGGCUUUCCUCACGUUAGCAGAAGACAUCCUCAGAAAGACGCCUGUAAAAGAGCCCAACAGUGAAAACGUGGACAUCAGCAGCGGAGGUGGAGUCACAGGCUGGAAGAGCAAGUGCUGCAGUUGAACAAGUCCUCGGUUUCACUCUCACACACACUAACGCACACACACCAACACACACACACACACACACACACACACACACACACACACACACACACACACACACACACACACACACACACACACAUUCUGUUUUCUCUCUCUAACGGCUAACUCUAACUCUCUCGCUCUCUAACCUGUCUCAUGAGUUUUUCUUGCACACUGACACUCUCUGUCUCUUUAUCAGAAUAAAACAAUAAACCACUUCACUCUCUAAUCCCCCCUCCCCCCCUGCACCAUAUUCUUCCACUCUCCAUCUGAUGAUCAUUUUUAUUUCUGAUAAAAAGAGAAAUCCAGUCACGUUUCUUGUCAUAUGUUUUAAAAGUUGUUUAAAAAAAAAAGAUGAAAAAAAAGAUAAAGAAAUAAUGUGUGAAAAGACAAGCUCAUAUUUUUAAUAUUUCCUUUGCCUGAGCUCACCUGGUUGGACACCCCCACCCUUAACCCCACCCUCACCCCCAAACCACGUCACUCACUUUCGGUCAGAGGAAAUCUAAAUAAAACAAAAACAAAAAAAGACAAAUGUAGGAUUAACAUUUUGUACACUUUUCUGUUGUCUAACCGUAUUUGGUCAUUUACAAUUUGUUACCAAGUGACAGAGGCGUGGCUAGCUCCUUUUGUAUGUGGGGGUUUAUUUUUGUCCUGUGCCUUAUAUGGAAGACAGGGGCGGGGCUAGUGUUGUGGGCGGGGCCACAUCCACCCAAUGAAAUAACAGUUUAAUAAUCUGUCGGCUCUGUCACGAGGACGCCGCAACUGAAGCGGAACGUUUGAAUUUCUCCUCCAGCCAAGAGAACGGCAUUAUUCAGUAUGUCCUGUUAUUGAUGUUUUUAUUAUUAUCUGUAUGAUUUAUUUUACUUAUUUUUUUUUCCUAUUUGGGUUUGAUUUAUUUUUAUUUUGUUUGCUGCAUGCAGAUUUCUUUGGGUUGGAAGCGUUUCUUGUAACGUUGUGUAACGUUUGCCACUGGGUAACUGUGGGCGGGAGGUACACAAGUUCUCUUUGGAAAUUCAAACAGUUUUGCAGAUCCAUUAAAAAUAAGCUUGUUUAAGUUAA
Molecule: long non-coding RNA, 1394 nt
Organism: Gymnodraco acuticeps
Lineage: Eukaryota; Metazoa; Chordata; Actinopteri; Perciformes; Bathydraconidae
Exons: 2
Source: RefSeq, a predicted model, not a curated record